Molecule: small nucleolar RNA, 161 nt
Organism: Drosophila melanogaster (fruit fly)
Lineage: Eukaryota; Metazoa; Arthropoda; Insecta; Diptera; Drosophilidae
Source: Ensembl
GCUCGCCCAUAAAACGUGUGGAAAAUGCAUUAAAUAUUCUCCAAACAAUCCUGGCGGUUGCUAAACCAAAGUCCUGUUGAGUUUUUCGCUAACAACGUUUCGUAAAGUGCAAAUUUUGAACGUAGUUUGAUAGUAGAUCUCAGCACAGAAUUUCUCGUAUA